RNAcentral lists this long non-coding RNA (1043 nucleotides) under Apteryx owenii (little spotted kiwi). RNAcentral's name for it is "lncRNA (ENSAOWG00000010167.1)". Lineage: Eukaryota; Metazoa; Chordata; Aves; Apterygiformes; Apterygidae. The record is from RNAcentral.
GCAAAAACCGGAUUCAGGCUGGUUUUGGUGUUGCGCUGCCUUUUAGGAAGGAGUUUGUCAGCCUCGAGAGAAUAAGAGAGCAGGUCCUGCACCCCUCCGAAAAUGGCACGUGGAAGUGGUUUCGAAAGCGCCGCCUUUGGUCUCCUUUCUGCAGGAUCCCUGCUCCCCACAAAUCAUACUGUGGAUCCAAAGCGGGCUCCUUAAUACUUGCGUGAAACGAGGGCGAAGACUAGACCCGUUGUCCCCAUGUUGGGAAAGAGCACCUUUCCCUUCCCCAGCAGGGUUGCCCGGUGCAGCUAGCGUCGUGUGGCCACCAGCUACCCAUGAAUCACAGCUGAAAAACUGCUUUGCCUGAGCCGUAAUAAUCUGAGACAGCAAAGGGAGAAGUGAUUCCAAUCAUGAUGCAGGCUGCCUCACGGUAGAACAUGAGCAGGUAAUGCACAAGGAGCACCACUGGGAAUCAUGUCAGACGAGUCAAUCUCAGGGAGUGAUCCGGACCUGGACCCGGACUUGGAGCAGGAGGAUAUGGAAGAGGAGGAGGAGGAAGAUGAGGAGGAGGCGAUGGAGGAGGACAACGAUGGGGAUGACGAGGAAGACUUACUUGAUGAGAAUGACCAACCCCAGGAAGCUGUGUUCAGCAGUGACCAUGUUGAACACACCGAGGAUGGAGAAUGGCAGCGCUCUACUUCAACUACCUCAUCUCAGAGUGAGCGGGCAGAGCGACUCUUGCAGAACCAGCACAAGAGCCUGGCCUCUGAGGACACCAAAAAGAAGAGGGCUCAGAAACCUUCUCACAUGCGGAGGAACAUAAGGUAAGCAACAGCAGGACGGAAAGAGUUAGGGUCCUAUACAGCCUUUUGGGGUAAAAAUGGAGUCUGUGGACUUUUUCUGAGCCAUGUUUUGCCACUGUUGGCAAACCAGAUGGCUUUUCUUUCCAAAACCUUAGGAUUUCACCAGUGGGAGUAAUAUGUUCUCAGUCUGGAGUGCUGCAUGUGGGUGCAAACUUGUUUGGUAUUUCAGAAGAGUACAAUAUACAGUUACAG